This 406-nucleotide ribosomal RNA is filed under the name uncultured bacterium. RNAcentral describes it as "partial 16S ribosomal RNA". It matches the Rfam family "Bacterial small subunit ribosomal RNA", at positions 30 to 526 of the family's 1533-position model. The record is from RNAcentral.
AUUGAACGCUGGCGGCAGGCCUAACACAUGCAAGUCGAACGAGUGGCGGACGGGUGAGUAAUGUCUGGGAAACUGCCUGAUGGAGGGGGAUAACUACUGGAAACGGUAGCUAAUACCGCAUACCAUCAGAUGUGCCCAGAUGGGAUUAGCUUGUCGGUGGGGUAACGGCUCACCAAGGCGACGAUCCCUAGCUGGUCUGAGAGGAUGACCAGCCACACUGGAACUGAGACACGGUCCAGACUCCUACGGGAGGCAGCAGUGGGGAAGAUUGGACAAUGGGCGCAAGCCUGAUGCAGCCAUGCCGCGUGUGUGAAGAAGGCCUUCGGGUUGUAAAGCACUUUCAGCGGGGAGGCGUUACCCGCAGAAGAAGCACCGGCUAACUCCGUGCCAGCAGCCGCGGUAAUUC